RNAcentral lists this ribosomal RNA (586 nucleotides) under uncultured bacterium. Its description in RNAcentral is "bacterial SSU rRNA". It matches the Rfam family "Bacterial small subunit ribosomal RNA", at positions 338 to 916 of the family's 1533-position model. The record is from RNAcentral.
CCUACGGGAGGCAGCAGUGGGGAAUUUUGGACAAUGGGCGAAAGCCUGAUCCAGCAAUGCCGCGUGUGGGAAGAAGGCCUUCGGGUUGUAAACCACUUUUGUACGGAACGAAACGGCUCGCUUUAAUACAGUGGGCUAAUGACGGUACCGUAAGAAUAAGCACCGGCUAACUACGUGCCAGCAGCCGCGGUAAUACGUAGGGUGCGAGCGUUAAUCGGAAUUACUGGGCGUAAAGCGUGCGCAGGCGGUUAUAUAAGACAGUUGUGAAAUCCCCGGGCUCAACCUGGGAAUUGCAUCUGUGACUGUAUAGCUAGAGUACGGUAGAGGGGGAUGGAAUUCCGCGUGUAGCAGUGAAAUGCGUAGAUAUGCGGAGGAACACCGAUGGCGAAGGCAAUCCCCUGGACCUGUACUGACGCUCAUGCACGAAAGCGUGGGGAGCAAACAGGAUUAGAUACCCUGGUAGUCCACGCCCUAAACCGAUGUCAACUGGUUGUUGGGUGCAUUAGUACUCAGUAACGAAGCUAACGCGUGAAGUUGACCGCCUGGGGAGUACGGCCGCAAGGUUGAACUCGAAAUGAAUUGACGG